AACGAACGCUGGCGGCAUGCCUUACACAUGCAAGUCGAACGAGACCUCCGGGUCUUGUGGCGCACGGGUGCGUACCGCGUGGGAAGUUGCCCUUCGGUUCGGAUUCACUACCCGAAAGGGGUGCUACUACCGGCUAAUGUCUACGGCCCACAGAUUUCUCGCCUUUGGAUGGGACCGCGUUGGAUUAGCUGGUUGGUAGGGUCAAAGCCUAAUAAGGCGACGAUUCAUAGCUGGGCAGAGAGGAAGAGCAGCCACACUGAGGCUGAGACACGGCCCAGACUCUUGCAGGAUGCAGCAGUGGGUAAUAUAGGAAUGUGGGCGGAGGCAUGAACGAGCAAGGCCGGGUGAGUGAUGAAGGCCGGAAGGAAGUAAAGCGCUUUUACCCGGGAGGAUAAUGACGGUACCGGAAGAAUAAGCUCCGGCUAACUCCGUG
Molecule: ribosomal RNA, 433 nt
Filed under: uncultured bacterium
Lineage: Bacteria
Description: partial 16S ribosomal RNA
Rfam family: Bacterial small subunit ribosomal RNA
Source: RNAcentral